RNAcentral lists this ribosomal RNA (233 nucleotides) under uncultured bacterium. RNAcentral describes it as "partial 16S ribosomal RNA". It matches the Rfam family "Bacterial small subunit ribosomal RNA", at positions 333 to 583 of the family's 1533-position model. The record is from RNAcentral.
UUUGUCCUACGGGGCGCAGCAGUAGGGAAUAUUGCUCAAUGGGGGAAACCCUGAAGCAGCAACGCCGCGUGGAGGAUGAAGGUCUUCGGAUUGUAAAGUCCUUUUGUUAGAGAAGAUAAUGACGGUAUCUAACGAAUAAGCGCCGGCUAACUCCGUGCCAGCAGCCGCGGUAAUACGGAGGGGGCAACCGUUACUCGGAAUCACUGGGCGUAAAGAGCGCGUAGGCGGGAUAG